Molecule: ribosomal RNA, 484 nt
Filed under: uncultured bacterium
Lineage: Bacteria
Description: partial 16S ribosomal RNA
Rfam family: Bacterial small subunit ribosomal RNA
Source: RNAcentral
GACGAACGCUGGCGGCGUGCUUAACACAUGCAAGUCGAACGAUGAAGCUAGAGCUUGCUCUGGUGAAUUAGUGGCGAACGGGUGAGUAACACGUGAGUAACCUGCCCCGAACUCUGGGAUAACUGCUGGAAACGGUAGCUAAUACUGGAUACGACCUACGAAGGCAUCUUCUGUAGGUGGAAAGAAUUUCGGUUCGGGAUGGACUCGCGGCCUAUCAGCUUGUUGGUGAGGUAAUGGCUCACCAAGGCGACGACGGGUAGCCGGCCUGAGAGGUUGACCGGCCACACUGGGACUGAGACACGGCCCAGACUCCUACGGGAGGCAGCAGUGGGGAAUAUUGCACAAUGGGCGCAAGCCUGAUGCAGCAACGCCGCGUGAGGGAUGACGGCCUUCGGGUUGUAAACCUCUUUUAGUAGGGAAGAUGCGAAAGUGACGGUACCUGCAGAAAAAGCACCGGCUAACUACGUGCCAGCAGCCGCAGUAC